CUUACCUUUCUCCAGCGCCGGACUCCCUUGGCGCUGGGGAUCCCUCAGCCUCUCAGCUCCGAAUGCGACCGCAUUCAAACCGCCCAUAGGAAAGCAUUACUCAAUGCUUUCCUAUGGACGUUCAGUGUGCUCCUGUAGCGGCUGUCAGUGAGACAGCCACUAGAGGCUGGAUUAACCCUCAGUGAAACAUAGUAGUUUCUCUGAAACUGCUAUGUUUUCAGCUGCAGGGUUAAAACUAG
This is a non-coding RNA of Pelobates cultripes (western spadefoot toad), 239 nucleotides long. The record is from the annotation of a GenBank genome assembly. Lineage: Eukaryota; Metazoa; Chordata; Amphibia; Anura; Pelobatidae.